This 811-nucleotide ribosomal RNA is filed under the name Arthrobacter sp. Its description in RNAcentral is "bacterial SSU rRNA". It matches the Rfam family "Bacterial small subunit ribosomal RNA", at positions 664 to 1470 of the family's 1533-position model. Lineage: Bacteria; Bacillati; Actinomycetota; Actinomycetes; Micrococcales; Micrococcaceae. The record is from RNAcentral.
AAAUUCCUGGUGUAGCGGUGAAAUGCGCAGAUAUCAGGAGGAACACCGAUGGCGAAGGCAGGUCUCUGGGCAUUAACUGACGCUGAGGAGCGAAAGCAUGGGGAGCGAACAGGAUUAGAUACCCUGGUAGUCCAUGCCGUAAACGUUGGGCACUAGGUGUGGGGGACAUUCCACGUUUUCCGCGCCGUAGCUAACGCAUUAAGUGCCCCGCCUGGGGAGUACGGCCGCAAGGCUAAAACUCAAAGGAAUUGACGGGGGCCCGCACAAGCGGCGGAGCAUGCGGAUUAAUUCGAUGCAACGCGAAGAACCUUACCAAGGCUUGACAUGAACCGGUAAUACCUGGAGACAGGUGCCCCGCUUGCGGUCGGUUUACAGGUGGUGCAUGGUUGUCGUCAGCUCGUGUCGUGAGAUGUUGGGUUAAGUCCCGCAACGAGCGCAACCCUCGUUCUAUGUUGCCAGCACGUGAUGGUGGGGACUCAUAGGAGACUGCCGGGGUCAACUCGGAGGAAGGUGGGGACGACGUCAAAUCAUCAUGCCCCUUAUGUCUUGGGCUUCACGCAUGCUACAAUGGCCGGUACAAAGGGUUGCGAUACUGUGAGGUGGAGCUAAUCCCAAAAAGCCGGUCUCAGUUCGGAUUGGGGUCUGCAACUCGACCCCAUGAAGUCGGAGUCGCUAGUAAUCGCAGAUCAGCAACGCUGCGGUGAAUACGUUCCCGGGCCUUGUACACACCGCCCGUCAAGUCACGAAAGUUGGUAACACCCGAAGCCGGUGGCCUAACCCCUUGUGGGAGGGAGCUGUCGAAGUGGGACUG